This 404-nucleotide ribosomal RNA is filed under the name uncultured bacterium. Its description in RNAcentral is "bacterial SSU rRNA". It matches the Rfam family "Bacterial small subunit ribosomal RNA", at positions 355 to 776 of the family's 1533-position model. The record is from RNAcentral.
UGAGGAAUUUUGCGCAAUGGAGGAAACUCUGACGCAGCGACGCCUCGUGAACGAUGAAGUCUUUCGGGAUGUAAAGUUCUGUCAGUGGGGACGAAAAAUGACGGUACCCACAGAGGAAGCACCGGCUAACUACGUGCCAGCAGCCGCGGUAAUACGUAGGGUGCGAGCGUUAUCCGGAAUUAUUGGGCGUAAAGGGUGCGUAGGCGGUUGGAUAAGUAAGGUGUGAAAGCCACAGGCUUAACUUGUGGUUGCGCCUUAAACUGUCCAGCUAGAGGACACUAGAGGAUAGUGGAACUCGUGGUGUAGCGGUGAAAUGCGUAGAUAUCACGAGGAACACCAGUAGCGAAGGCGGCUAUCUGGGGUGUUUCUGACGCUGAGGCACGAAAGCAUGGGGAGCAAACAGG